UACGUAGGGUGCAAGCGUUAAUCGGAAUCACUGGGCGUAAAGGGCGUGUAGGCGGGAAGGAAAGUCAGAUGUGAAAUCCCCAGGCUCAACCUGGGAACUGCAUUUGAAACUCCCUUUCUUGAGUACCGGAGAGGAAAGUGGAAUUCCUGGUGUAGAGGUGAAAUUCGUAGAUAUCAGGAGGAACACCAGUGGCGAAGGCGGCUUUCUGGACGGUAACUGACGCUGAGGAGCGAAAGCGUGGGGAGCAAACAGG
Molecule: ribosomal RNA, 253 nt
Filed under: uncultured bacterium
Lineage: Bacteria
Description: partial 16S ribosomal RNA
Rfam family: Bacterial small subunit ribosomal RNA
Source: RNAcentral